GAUGAAGAACGUAGUGAAAUGCGAUAAGUAAUGUGAAUUGCAGAAUUCAGUGAAUCAUCGAAUCUUUGAACGCACAUUGCGCCCGCUAGUAUUCUGGCGGGCAUGCCUGUUCGAGCGUCAUUUCAACCAUCAAGCCCUGUUUAGGCUUGUGUUGGGGCCCUGCGGUUGCCGCAGCCCCCUAAAUGCAGUGGCGGGCUCGUUGUCACUCCGAGCGCAGUAGCGUAUCUCGCUCUGGGCGUGGCGGCGGGUGCUAGCCGUGAAACACCCACUAAGGUUGACCUCGGAUCAGGUAGGAAUACCCGCUGAACUUAAGCAUACAAUAAGCGGAGGA
RNAcentral lists this unclassified non-coding RNA (331 nucleotides) under soil metagenome. RNAcentral describes it as "partial contains 5.8S ribosomal RNA, internal transcribed spacer 2, and large subunit ribosomal RNA". The stretch from base 1 to 120 matches the Rfam family "5.8S ribosomal RNA", at positions 35 to 154 of the family's 154-position model. The record is from RNAcentral.